RNAcentral lists this ribosomal RNA (871 nucleotides) under uncultured Roseobacter sp. RNAcentral's name for it is "bacterial SSU rRNA". It matches the Rfam family "Bacterial small subunit ribosomal RNA", at positions 386 to 1295 of the family's 1533-position model. Lineage: Bacteria; Pseudomonadati; Pseudomonadota; Alphaproteobacteria; Rhodobacterales; Roseobacteraceae. The record is from RNAcentral.
AUCUAGCCAUGCCGCGUGUGUGAUGAAGGCCCUAGGGUCGUAAAGCACUUUCGCCAGAGAUGAUAAUGACAGUAUCUGGUAAAGAAACCCCGGCUAACUCCGUGCCAGCAGCCGCGGUAAUACGGAGGGGGUUAGCGUUGUUCGGAAUUACUGGGCGUAAAGCGCACGUAGGCGGAUUAAUAAGUUAGAGGUGAAAUCCCAGGGCUCAACCCUGGAACUGCCUUUAAAACUGUUAGUCUUGAGAUCGAGAGAGGUGAGUGGAAUUCCAAGUGUAGAGGUGAAAUUCGUAGAUAUUUGGAGGAACACCAGUGGCGAAGGCGGCUCACUGGCUCGAUACUGACGCUGAGGUACGAAAGUGUGGGGAGCAAACAGGAUUAGAUACCCUGGUAGUCCACACCGUAAACGAUGAAUGCCAGACGUCAGCAAGCAUGCUUGUUGGUGUCACACCUAACGGAUUAAGCAUUCCGCCUGGGGAGUACGGUCGCAAGAUUAAAACUCAAAGGAAUUGACGGGGGCCCGCACAAGCGGUGGAGCAUGUGGUUUAAUUCGACGCAACGCGCAGAACCUUACCAACCCUUGACAUACUUGUCGCGGAUUCCAGAGAUGGAUUCCUUCAGUUCGGCUGGACAAUGUACAGGUGCUGCAUGGCUGUCGUCAGCUCGUGUCGUGAGAUGUUCGGUUAAGUCCGCCAACGAGCGCAACCCACGUCCUUAGUUACCAGCAUUUAGUUGGGUACCCUAAGGAGACUGCCGGUGAUAAGCCGGAGGAAGGUGUGGACGACGUCAAGUCAUCAUGGCCCUUACGGGUUGGGCUACACACGUGCUACAAUGGCAUCUACAGUGAGUUAAUCUCCAAAAGAUGUCUCAGUUCG